Molecule: ribosomal RNA, 239 nt
Filed under: uncultured bacterium
Lineage: Bacteria
Description: partial 16S ribosomal RNA
Rfam family: Bacterial small subunit ribosomal RNA
Source: RNAcentral
UGAGGAACAUGACUUUCGGCGGGGGAUAGCCGGCCCAACGGCCGGGUAAUACCGCGUACGACCUUUUGGGGACAUCCCCGAUUGGUGAAAGCAGCAAUGCGCCGAAAGAGUGCCUCGCGGCCUAUCAGCUAGUUGGUGGGGUCAUGGCUCACCAAGGCGACGACGGGUAGCUGGUCUGAGAGGACGACCAGCCACACUGGAACUGAGACACGGUCCAGACUCCGUACGGGAGCAGCAGG